Molecule: ribosomal RNA, 467 nt
Filed under: uncultured bacterium
Lineage: Bacteria
Description: bacterial SSU rRNA
Rfam family: Bacterial small subunit ribosomal RNA
Source: RNAcentral
UAGGGAAUUUUCGGCAAUGGGCGCAAGCCUGACCGAGCAACGCCGCGUGAGUGAUUAAGGCCUUCGGGUUGUAAAGCUCUGUUGUAAGGGAAGAACAUUCAGGAUAGGAAAUGAUCUUGAACUGACGGUACCUUACCAGAAAGCCACGGCUAACUACGUGCCAGCAGCCGCGGUAAUACGUAGGUGGCAAGCGUUAUCCGGAAUUAUUGGGCGUAAAGGGUGCGUAGGCGGUUUAUUAAGUCUAUGGUGAAAGUGCGGGGCUCAACCCCGUAUGGCCAUAGAAACUGGUAGACUUGAGUGCAGGAGAGGGCAAUGGAAUUCCAUGUGUAGCGGUAAAAUGCGUAGAUAUAUGGAGGAACACCAGUGGCGAAGGCGGUUGCCUGGCCUGUAACUGACGCUGAAGCACGAAAGCGUGGGGAGCAAAUAGGAUUAGAUACCCUAGUAGUCCACGCCGUAAACGAUGAAUA